This 345-nucleotide long non-coding RNA is filed under the name Setaria viridis. RNAcentral's name for it is "long non-coding RNA (SVIR_LNC011286)". The record is from RNAcentral. Lineage: Eukaryota; Viridiplantae; Streptophyta; Magnoliopsida; Poales; Poaceae.
GGGACCUUAAGAGAAAAUAUUAUCCCAUGUUUUUUGGAUGGAUUAGGAGGCGAGAGAGAAUUUCUAUUAUAAGUUACAAUGAAUAGUGAGUACGUACUCCCUCUAUUACAAAUUGUAAAUUGUUUUAUGUUUGUCAUAGUCAAACUUCAAACUAGUUUUAUAAGAUAGAUUGUGAAACAUAUCCUGAUGAUGCAUCUAUGUGAUAUUGUCAAAUGUCAAUGUUAAUAUAUUUUUCUAUAAAUUUAGUCAAAAUUAGACAGAUUUGACUUGGAACAAAGAUAAAUUCACCCACAAUUUGAAAUGGAGGCUAGGUGUUUCAAUCGUCCACCUAAACCAUAAAUUCCC